CGGUAUGCCUAAUACAUGCAAGUCGAACGCUGAANCACUCUGCUUGCAGAGUGUGGAUGAGUGGCGAACGGGUGAGUAACACGUGGGGAACCUGCCCAUAAGAGAGGGGAUAACAUCCGGAAACGGGUGCUAAUACCGCAUAGGUGAUCAUAGCGCAUGCUUAGAUCAUUAAAGAUGGCUUCGGCUAUCGCUUAUGGAUGGCCCCGCGGCGUAUUAGCUAGUUGGUGAGGUAAUGGCUCACCAAGGCUGUGAUACGUAGCCGACCUGAGAGGGUGAUCGGCCACACUGGAACUGAGACACGGUCCAGACUCCUACGGGAGGCAGCAGUAGGGAAUCUUCCACAAUGGGCGAAAGCCUGAUGGAGCAAUACCGCGUGAGUGAAGAAGGUCUUCGGAUCGUAAAGCUCUGUUGUUAGAGAAGAACAAGAGGUGUAGUAACUGGCACCUCCUUGACGGUAUCUAACCAGAAAGUCACGGCUAACUACGUGCCAGCAGCCGCGGUAAUACGUAGGUGACAAGCGUUGUCCGGAUUUAUUGGGCGUAAAGCGAGCGCAGGCGGUCUUUUAAGUCUGAUGUGAAAGCCCACGGCUCAACCGUGGAGGGUCAUUGGAAACUGGAAGACUUGAAUGCAGAAGAGGAAAGUGGAAUUCCAUGUGUAGCGGUGAAAUGCGUAGAUAUAUGGAGGAACACCAGUGGCGAAGGCGACUUUCUGGUCUGUAAUUGACGCUGAGGCUCGAAAGCGUGGGGAGCGAACAGGAUUAGAUACCCUGGUAGUCCACGCCGUAAACGAUGAGUGCUAAGUGUUGGAGGGUUUCCGCCCUUCAGUGCUGGAGCUAACGCAUUAAGCACUCCGCCUGGGGAGUACGGCCGCAAGGCUGAAACUCAAAGGAAUUGACGGGGACCCGCACAAGCGGUGGAGCAUGUGGUUUAAUUCGAAGCAACGCGAAGAACCUUACCAGAUCUUGACAUCCUCUGACCACCCAAGAGAUUGGGCUUUCCCUUCGGGGACAGAGUGACAGGUGGUGCAUGGUUGUCGUCAGCUCGUGUCGUGAGAUGUUGGGUUAAGUCCCGUAACGAGCGCAACCCUUAUUGUUAGUUGCCAGCAUUCAGUUGGGCACUCUAGCGAGACUGCCGGUGAUAAACCGGAGGAAGGCGGGGAUGACGUCAAAUCAUCAUGCCCCUUAUGAUCUGGGCUACACACGUGCUACAAUGGAUGGUACAACGAGUCGCGAGACCGCGAGGUUUAGCUAAUCUCCUAAAGCCAUUCUCAGUUCGGAUUGCAGGCUGCAACUCGCCUGCAUGAAGCCGGAAUCGCUAGUAAUCGCGGAUCAGAACGCCGCGGUGAAUACGUUCCCGGGUCUUGUACACACCGCCCGUCACUACCACGAGAGUUUGGAACUACCCGAAGUCGGUCGAGUAACCCUUUUAGGGAGCUAGCCGCCGAAGGUGGGCUGGAUGAUUGGGGUGAAGUCGUAACAAGGUAGCCGG
This 1487-nucleotide ribosomal RNA is filed under the name Alkalibacterium thalassium. RNAcentral's name for it is "16S ribosomal RNA". It matches the Rfam family "Bacterial small subunit ribosomal RNA". Lineage: Bacteria; Bacillati; Bacillota; Bacilli; Lactobacillales; Carnobacteriaceae. The record is from RNAcentral.